UAAGGAAUAUUGGUCAAUGGAGGGAACUCUGAACCAGCCAUGCCGCGUGCAGGAAGACGGCCCUCUGGGUUGUAAACUGCUUUUAUUCGGGAAUAAACCACAUUACGUGUAGUGUGCUGAAUGUACCGAAGGAAUAAGGAUCGGCUAACUCCGUGCCAGCAGCCGCGGUAAUACGGAGGAUCCAAGCGUUAUCCGGAUUCAUUGGGUGUAAAGGGUGCGUAGGCGGCUUAUUAAGUCAGGGGUGAAAGACGGUGGCUCAACCAUCGCAGUGCCCUUGAUACUGAUGAGCUAGGAUGGACGAGAGGUAGGGAGAAUGUGACGGAUAGCGGUGAAGUGCAUAGAUAUGUCACAGAACACCGAUUGCGAAGGCAGCUUACUAUGGUUUAAUUGGCGCUGGGGCAAGAAAGCGUGGGGAUCAAACA
RNAcentral lists this ribosomal RNA (422 nucleotides) under uncultured bacterium. Its description in RNAcentral is "bacterial SSU rRNA". It matches the Rfam family "Bacterial small subunit ribosomal RNA", at positions 355 to 774 of the family's 1533-position model. The record is from RNAcentral.